RNAcentral lists this transfer RNA (66 nucleotides) under Yangisunda tiani. RNAcentral describes it as "tRNA-Phe". It matches the Rfam family "tRNA". Rfam says of the family: Transfer RNA (tRNA) molecules are approximately 80 nucleotides in length. Their secondary structure includes four short double-helical elements and three loops (D, anti-codon, and T loops). Lineage: Eukaryota; Metazoa; Arthropoda; Insecta; Hemiptera; Cicadellidae. The record is from RNAcentral. RNAcentral also lists the same sequence under 1 other name.
GUUUUAGUAGCUUAAAUUUUAGAGCGUUACCCUGAAGAGGUAUAGGUAUAAAUAUUUUCUGAAAUA